CAGUAGGGAAUCUUCCACAAUGGGCGAAAGCCUGAUGGAGCAACGCCGCGUGUGUGAUGAAGGGUUUCGGCUCGUAAAACACUGUUGUAAGAGAAGGAUGACAUUGAGAGUAACUGUUCAAUGUGUGACGGUAUCUUACCAGAAAGGAACGGCUAAAUACGUGCCAG
RNAcentral lists this ribosomal RNA (167 nucleotides) under uncultured bacterium. RNAcentral's name for it is "partial 16S rRNA". It matches the Rfam family "Bacterial small subunit ribosomal RNA", at positions 352 to 511 of the family's 1533-position model. The record is from RNAcentral.